UGACUAAUACAACGCCC
This 17-nucleotide unclassified non-coding RNA is filed under the name Mus musculus (house mouse). Its description in RNAcentral is "oocyte_clustered_small_RNA2164". The record is from RNAcentral. Lineage: Eukaryota; Metazoa; Chordata; Mammalia; Rodentia; Muridae.